Molecule: long non-coding RNA, 226 nt
Filed under: Elaeis guineensis (African oil palm)
Lineage: Eukaryota; Viridiplantae; Streptophyta; Magnoliopsida; Arecales; Arecaceae
Description: long non-coding RNA (EGUI_LNC008884)
Source: RNAcentral
GUCCUAAGCUUCGCUUUGCCCGAUUUAUCCCUAUUUUGUGGUAUGUGUAAUCAUUAUGGUAAAAUAUGUAACCAAAAUUUUGAACUGUGUAUCGAUUUAUUAUUAUUAUAUUUUAUUGCAUGCUCUAAAUAUAACAAACAUCUUAUUUAGUUAUUUGAUGUAUUUAUUUUGUGGCAGGAAAUGACUGUAUCGACUCGAAAUACUGCUAGAAGAAGGAGAUCCAAGG